Molecule: ribosomal RNA, 301 nt
Filed under: uncultured bacterium
Lineage: Bacteria
Description: partial 16S ribosomal RNA
Rfam family: Bacterial small subunit ribosomal RNA
Source: RNAcentral
CAGCCGCCGCGGUAAUACGGGGGGGGCAAGUGUUAUUCGGAAUGACUGGGCGUAAAGGGCACGUAGGCGGUGAAAAGGGUGGAAAGUGAAAGUCGCCAAAACACUGGCGGGGUGCUUUCUUGACCAUUUCACUUGAGUGAGAUAGGGGAGAGUGGAAUUUCGUGUGGAGGGAUCAAAUCCUAAGAUAUACGAAGGAACGCCAACCGCGAAGGCAGCUCUCUGGGUCCCCACUGACGCUGGGGUGCGAAAGCAUGGGGAGCAAACAGGAUCAGAUACCCGAGUAGUCCCUGUCUCUUAUACA